UUUGACAUCCUCGUAGCGGUCGGGGUCGUCCCCGAACUCGCCAAGCACCCGGGCGCCGAUCACGUGCCCCUUGCCUGGUAGC
RNAcentral lists this small RNA (82 nucleotides) under Tessaracoccus flavus. RNAcentral describes it as "Actinobacteria sRNA Ms_AS-4". It matches the Rfam family "Actinobacteria sRNA Ms_AS-4". The record is from Rfam by way of RNAcentral. Lineage: Bacteria; Bacillati; Actinomycetota; Actinomycetes; Propionibacteriales; Propionibacteriaceae.